AGACUUAAUUGAAAAACUUAAUAAGACAAAUGUUUAUAUAAGUUAAUAAAGUGAAUGUAAGGAAGAGACUAAAUGGAGUGGUAGGAAUAAGCAUAGUUAGGAAAAAAAUGGAAAUGAGCAGCUAGAAUUGAGAAUUAAGAAGAGAAUAGAGAUAAGAUACAGAAGGUAAUUCAUUUGCAGAAAAGAUACUGUGAUUGAAC
This is a non-coding RNA of Ceratotherium simum simum (southern white rhinoceros), 200 nucleotides long. The record is from RefSeq and is a predicted model, not a curated record. NCBI's taxonomy places the organism in Eukaryota, Metazoa, Chordata, Mammalia, Perissodactyla, Rhinocerotidae.